This is a long non-coding RNA of Gorilla gorilla gorilla (western lowland gorilla), 842 nucleotides long. RefSeq lists it as uncharacterized. The record is from RefSeq and is a predicted model, not a curated record. The transcript is spliced from 4 exons. Lineage: Eukaryota; Metazoa; Chordata; Mammalia; Primates; Hominidae.
AAUGCGGGCUCGCGUCUCCGCAAAGCGCCGCCCCUCCGGCGCGGAGGCUGGGAACUGGCGGUCUGACGCGGCGAGGUGAAAAAUCACCUCGGGGGCCCAGGUUCCCCACGAACAGCUAAUUCUCAGAUGGGGUCUUGUUAUGUUGCCCAGGCUACAUGGACUCAAGUGAACUCCCGCCUCAGCCUCCAAAAGUGUUGGGAUUACAGCUGUGAGCCAUCUUGCCGAGCCCACCAUGUACUUUAAAACAAAGGAGUGAUGCACCCACUUGAAGUCCUUUUACUCCUAACGGGGCACCUGGACUGAGGAAUGAAGAAUGCCUUAAACUACAAAAGCAUGAAGCACAAUGAAUCUCAUGCAGAAUAACUUAAAAAAAUUAUACCUUGGCCUACAGUAAAACUGAAAAAUUUCAAGGAAAGAGAUCUUAAAGUCCAUGAAAGGGAAAAAUCAGAUUACCUACGAAGGGAAAACUAAGCUGACAGCCUAAUUUUAAAGAAUGGAAGCCAGAGGAUCAAAAUAUUGAGAGAAAAUGAUCAUUGUUGAACUGUAUUUAACACAUGAAACUAUCUUUCAUAAAGUGAAAGAAACACAUUUUAAGAGACAAAAACUAAGAAUCUACCACCAACAGAUCCUCAACUGAAGGAGUGUCAGUUCAGGAAGAAGCAAAAUGAUCUCAGAAGGAAGUGUGAAAAAGACCAAAGAAGAGUCAACAGAGAAAAAGUUCUUUGUAUUUAAGAUUUUCAUUUUAUGGGUAAAAUUCUCACCUACCCAGAAUAGUACAUUCUGUACGAAUUCUGAAUAGCUUUGUGUGAACAUAUGCUUUAAUUUCCCUUGGCUUGGAGUGG